RNAcentral lists this long non-coding RNA (591 nucleotides) under Dromaius novaehollandiae (emu). Its description in RNAcentral is "lncRNA (ENSDNVG00000007892.1)". The record is from RNAcentral. Lineage: Eukaryota; Metazoa; Chordata; Aves; Casuariiformes; Dromaiidae.
AAAUAAUAGCUUGCUAUGAGGCAGACAUCGGCAGUCACUGUGCGGACCAGAUUUUGAAAAUUCAGUCUCUCUCUCUUUUUCUUUUCUCUAAUGCCUAGGGCUUGACGCGCAUCUCUGCAAGUGAUGUGUAUGCCCCUCCUCUUGCCCUGGUACCUAUGCGGCAUGGUUUGGUUGAAUCACUGGAAGACUAAAUACAACGAGCAUAAGAUUGUUUUAUUUUAAAAGAGAGCCUGACCAGGUAGCUUGGGACAUAAUUCAUGUUCUCUUGGAUGUGAGGAUUGUGACGCAAGUUGAUGAAUGGAGAGGAYGGCUGGGUGAGAGAAGCAGCGUGGAUUCCCUGGCUAGUUGCAGGUGGUGCAGAGGUUUGGAAUUGUUGUUUCAAAAGCUUUUCCAAAGCAGAAAACAAUGUAUAAGGAAAUAGAAACAGCAGUUAAAGGCAAUGUGAAAUAGAUGACUAACACUGGUCCCCAGCAAGGCUGUGAAGCAGAAAACAUGUCUAAAACUGUUAGAGAUUCUAUUGAAUAGAGCCACAAAUAGGAAACGCACAGGUUGUUACAGCCUCUAAUAUGUGAUCACCGAGAACACUGCCAG